AGGUGGUGCGCGUCUCAAGGGACUGUGAAACAUCGUAACCAUUUGUAUCACAGCCCUGCUUGGGACACAGCCUACCUGC
Molecule: microRNA precursor, 79 nt
Filed under: Schistosoma mansoni
Lineage: Eukaryota; Metazoa; Platyhelminthes; Trematoda; Strigeidida; Schistosomatidae
Description: microRNA sma-mir-2b precursor
Gene: sma-mir-2b
Source: miRBase by way of RNAcentral